GUUUCUUAAGACUUUCAGCUUCAUCACGGAGUGUCUCUCGGUUUGUGGGCUCAUCUAAAGCUGAGUAACAGGAGGAGAAGAGUCUGGUGGUGCAACAGAGGAACAAUUUCAGCCAUUUGGACUCAGCUCAGCCACUACAGAGGAAACAAUGACUUCAACACAAAAGGACCAACAUGGAGCGAGAAGUCAGUGAUCUCAGGAGGCCAACAAAUCUCACA
Molecule: long non-coding RNA, 218 nt
Organism: Oreochromis niloticus (Nile tilapia)
Lineage: Eukaryota; Metazoa; Chordata; Actinopteri; Cichliformes; Cichlidae
Exons: 3
Source: RefSeq, a predicted model, not a curated record